RNAcentral lists this ribosomal RNA (864 nucleotides) under Enterococcus casseliflavus. RNAcentral's name for it is "bacterial SSU rRNA". It matches the Rfam family "Bacterial small subunit ribosomal RNA", at positions 67 to 911 of the family's 1533-position model. The record is from RNAcentral. Lineage: Bacteria; Bacillati; Bacillota; Bacilli; Lactobacillales; Enterococcaceae.
CUUUCCCGGAGCUUGCUCCACCGAAAGAAAAAGAGUGGCGAACGGGUGAGUAACACGUGGGUAACCUGCCCAUCAGAAGGGGAUAACACUUGGAAACAGGUGCUAAUACCGUAUAACACUAUUUUCCGCAUGGAAGAAAGUUGAAAGGCGCUUUUGCGUCACUGAUGGAUGGACCCGCGGUGCAUUAGCUAGUUGGUGAGGUAACGGCUCACCAAGGCAACGAUGCAUAGCCGACCUGAGAGGGUGAUCGGCCACACUGGGACUGAGACACGGCCCAGACUCCUACGGGAGGCAGCAGUAGGGAAUCUUCGGCAAUGGACGAAAGUCUGACCGAGCAACGCCGCGUGAGUGAAGAAGGUUUUCGGAUCGUAAAACUCUGUUGUUAGAGAAGAACAAGGAUGAGAGUAAAAUGUUCAUCCCUUGACGGUAUCUAACCAGAAAGCCACGGCUAACUACGUGCCAGCAGCCGCGGUAAUACGUAGGUGGCAAGCGUUGUCCGGAUUUAUUGGGCGUAAAGCGAGCGCAGGCGGUUUCUUAAGUCUGAUGUGAAAGCCCCCGGCUCAACCGGGGAGGGUCAUUGGAAACUGGGAGACUUGAGUGCAGAAGAGGAGAGUGGAAUUCCAUGUGUAGCGGUGAAAUGCGUAGAUAUAUGGAGGAACACCAGUGGCGAAGGCGGCUCUCUGGUCUGUAACUGACGCUGAGGCUCGAAAGCGUGGGGAGCGAACAGGAUUAGAUACCCUGGUAGUCCACGCCGUAAACGAUGAGUGCUAAGUGUUGGAGGGUUUCCGCCCUUCAGUGCUGCAGCAAACGCAUUAAGCACUCCGCCUGGGGAGUACGACCGCAAGGUUGAAACUCAAAGGAAUU